Molecule: ribosomal RNA, 264 nt
Filed under: uncultured bacterium
Lineage: Bacteria
Description: partial 16S ribosomal RNA
Rfam family: Bacterial small subunit ribosomal RNA
Source: RNAcentral
GGUCUCCUACGGGGGGCAGCAGUAGGGAAUCUUCCACAAUGGACGAAAGUCUGAUGGAGCAACGCCGCAUGAGUGAAGAAGGGUUUCGGCUCGUAAAGCUCUGUUGGUAGUGAAGAGAGAUAGAGGUAGUAACUGGCCUUUAUUUGACGGUAAUUACUUAGAAAGUCACGGCUAGCUACGUGCCAGCAGCCGCGGUAAUACGUAGGUGGCAAGCGUUGUCCGGAUUUAUUGGGCGUAAAGCGAGUGCAGGCGGGUCAAUAAGUC